CCCGACGCGUAGCACCACAACGGUAGCAGCCACGGGUGGUGGAAGGGCACGUCGCCGCCGCUCAGGAAGAACAGACGGCAGAACUUGCUCAGGAACAGCAGCAGCGGGAUGAAGUGCGUCCAGAAGUUGAGCGUCUCGUUGGACUUCUAUUUGGAACUGAGUCCGACAGCUCAGGACUGGCUGCUCAAACUCCACAAUUUAAUGAAAAAUCUCAGAUGAUGACUCAGAAAACCUCUAAUGAUCUGAGGAAUAUAUUAAGGGAUUCCAGAGUCAAAGGCUGAUCAUGGAGGGCAUUGAUGAGGGAAGACUUCAGGUAGGAGGUGCAUUCUAGCAGGAACUGAAGAGAAUGAAGUCCAGUUGGUAGAAACGGAGGGGGUGGCUUGGAUAAAUCUUAUAUGUAAUUAAUCAGAAGUACCUGGCAGGUGGCUGGAGACCAGAAGAAAGGAACACUGGAAGAAUGAAAACGGUUGUGAUGCACUGCAGUGUGAAAAUAUGCCCUUGAGCCUUAAAGAAAGGGGCUU
Long non-coding RNA from Homo sapiens (human), 521 nucleotides. Ensembl annotates it as PAQR9 antisense RNA 1. Its record names the gene PAQR9-AS1. The record is from Ensembl. NCBI's taxonomy places the organism in Eukaryota, Metazoa, Chordata, Mammalia, Primates, Hominidae.